ACCAGGAGGAGGUUGGAUGGAUGGCGGACGUAGCGGCCCGACAUGGUUGUCGACGCGGCUUGGUUUGUGAAUUGGUGAGGGAGUCUGGGUCUGGAACACAUGCUGCUGUGGCCACGAGUGGCGGGAUUGGUGGCGGACUGGCCGUGGACCGGCCGGAGCGGGGCGCGUCCUGCACGGUGGUCCCGGAGGCUGUGGGAGACUUCCCAGUGGUGGGGAAGCAUCCUGAGAGGGAGGCGGACUGAAUGCGCCUGCAGGAGGCCCCCCACGAUUUUUGGCAUGUUGCGGAGCGGAAGGGAUGGGAGAGGUGAAUGUCGGAGGGCGGGGGUCUGCCGGAUUCCCUUCCGUGGCCGGCGGGGAGGGACGGAGGAGUUUUGCGUGGGAGCGGCGGCGGGGAACCUUGAGGAUGGGCUCGGGGAGCGUGGAAGGGAC
RNAcentral lists this long non-coding RNA (429 nucleotides) under Androctonus crassicauda. The record is from RNAcentral. Lineage: Eukaryota; Metazoa; Arthropoda; Arachnida; Scorpiones; Buthidae.